AACGAACGCUGGCGGCAUGCCUAACACAUGCAAGUCGAACGAAGGCUUCGGCCUUAGUGGCGCACGGGUGCGUAACGCGUGGGAAUCUGCCCUUGGGUACGGAAUAACAGUUAGAAAUGACUGCUAAUACCGAAUGAUGUCGAAAGACCAAAGAUUUAUCGCCCAAGGAUGAGCCCGCGUAGGAUUAGCUAGUUGGUGAGGUAAAGGCUCACCAAGGCGACGAUCCUUAGCUGGUCUGAGAGGAUGAUCAGCCACACUGGGACUGAGACACGGCCCAGACUCCUACGGGAGGCAGCAGUGGGGAAUAUUGGACAAUGGGCGAAAGCCUGAUCCAGCAAUGCCGCGUGAGUGAUGAAGGCCUUAGGGUUGUAAAGCUCUUUUACCCGGGAUGAUAAUGACAGUACCGGGAGAAUAAGCCCCGGCUAACUCCGUGCCAGCAGCCGCCGUAAAAC
RNAcentral lists this ribosomal RNA (452 nucleotides) under uncultured bacterium. Its description in RNAcentral is "bacterial SSU rRNA". It matches the Rfam family "Bacterial small subunit ribosomal RNA", at positions 29 to 526 of the family's 1533-position model. The record is from RNAcentral.